This 475-nucleotide ribosomal RNA is filed under the name uncultured bacterium. RNAcentral's name for it is "partial 16S ribosomal RNA". It matches the Rfam family "Bacterial small subunit ribosomal RNA", at positions 29 to 508 of the family's 1533-position model. The record is from RNAcentral.
AAUGAACGUUGGCGGCAUGGAUUAGGCAUGCAAGUCGAGCGAGAAGGGUUUUGAAGCUUGUUUUGAAACCCGGAAAGCGGCGCAAGGGAGAGUAACGAGUAGUUAUCUACCCCAAGGCCCGGAAUAGCUGCGGGAAACUGCAGGUAAUGCCGGAUAAUAUCCCCGGAUCAAAGGUGUGAUUCCGCCUUGGGAGGAGACUGCUUUGUACUAGCUAGUUGGUAGGGUAAUGGCCUACCAAGGCUACGAUGCAUAGCGGGCGUGAGAGCGUGGCCCGUCUCACUGGGGCUGACACACUGCCCAGACGCCUACGGGUGGCUGCAGUCGAGAAUCUUCGGUAAUGGGCGAAAGCCUGACCGAGCGAUGCCGCGUGCGGGAUGAAGGCCCUCGGGUUGUAAACCGCUGUCGUAGAGGAGAAAGGUCUGAUGAAGAAUCAGAUUUGAUCUAUUCUAGGAGGAAGUCCGGGCUAAGUUCGUGC